GUGAUGACCUGGCGACUUGUCCAGGGUGUACCCCACCUUUCGCCCGUAGUCAGCUGGGAUAGGCUCCAGCUUGCCUGCGACCCUGUAGAACAGGAUAAAGCGGCUACAGAUAAUGAGAUGAGAUAUAUUAAAAUAGUAGCAUUUUGUGGCAUUCAGGGUUUUUUUUUUACUCUAUCACUGGGCUUUCUAGACAGUUAUCAUUGCUAGCUACUUCUCAAGAAAAGGGAAUGUGUAAAACUUGGCCGUGAUCCAUUCGCAGCAUCUUUAGCCUGGUCAGGAUUUCUCUGCUGUAAAUUAAGCUACUAUUCAUUCAUCUAUUAUCUGUUGGGAAAGCUGGAGUCAAUCCCAUCUGACAUCAGACUUUGGGCAGGUCACCAAUCUAUGGCAGGGCUAACACCGAGACAAACAACCAUUCAUGUUCACACCUAUGGGCAAUUUAGAGUAGCCAGCUGAUGGAAUCCCCAUGUCUUUGAACUGCUGGAGGAAACCCACACAGGCAUGAAAAGAACAUGUAAACAGAAAACAUAAACGCCCCAAUCAGCCAUGAGGUUUGAACUCUCUUGUUGUGAGGUGACAGUACUAUAAUUAAGCUUAAUUAAGUUAUUAAGUUAAUAAUUAAGCUGAUGACAGAACUAUAUGUGCAAUAAUUUUCCACGGUUAUUUUUAUUUUCAUUGUAUUUUCACUCCUCCUCCUUCCACAUUUUAUUUUUUUCAGAGACUGCAAGGUUUUUCCUUUCCCUGCAAAGACUGCAAUCGGAGACCAUCCACACUGGAUCUGCCUUAAUAUCAACAGAUCUUUGCUUAAGUGAUGCUGCCCUCUUCUGCUCCUCUGACCCACCUGAUCCAUCCUGAUGCCCUGCGUCUGGCUGGAGUCUCAUCAUAUCGCUCCUUUGGAGGACGGCUCCAUAUGGACAAUCGAAAGUCGCACUUAGAAGUUGGCUCUGGACACUUAGUUUUGCUCUGAUGGCUGAGGACUGCAAUCGCCAUGAUAACUUUGCAACUGCGGUUGUAAUGAACAGUUUUACACUCAAGUCUCCAUCAAUGAACAGUUUAAAACUUCAACAAAAUAGACUUCAUGCUAAAACUAUAAUGAAUUUCCUGGUUACGCAGUUGUACUUUGUGACUAUAUAGGACACAGUUAUAGAAGCGAGUUAUUUAUAAUCAUGUUAUCUGUUAUCACCCAGAUGAGGAUGGGUUCCCUUUUGAGUCUGGUUCCUCUCAAGGUUUCUUCCUCAUGUCGUCUGAGGGAGUUUUUCCUUGCCAGCGUCACCACAGGCUUCCUUAUCAAGGAUAAAUAAAUUUAUUAGGGAUAAAAUUAGCUCAUGUUUAAAGUCUUUAAUUUUCUGUAAAGCUGCUUUGUGAUAAUGUCUGUUGUUAAAAGCGCUAUACAAAUAAACUGACUUCACUAAUAA
Neoarius graeffei (lesser salmon catfish) is the source of this 1412-nucleotide long non-coding RNA. RefSeq lists it as uncharacterized. NCBI's taxonomy places the organism in Eukaryota, Metazoa, Chordata, Actinopteri, Siluriformes, Ariidae. The transcript has 2 exons. The record is from RefSeq and is a predicted model, not a curated record.